Long non-coding RNA from Polyodon spathula (Mississippi paddlefish), 599 nucleotides. RefSeq lists it as uncharacterized. The record is from RefSeq and is a predicted model, not a curated record. Lineage: Eukaryota; Metazoa; Chordata; Actinopteri; Acipenseriformes; Polyodontidae. The transcript is spliced from 3 exons.
GUGCCCUGCGGAGUCCUGGAGUCCAUCUGGUCAAGGCAUAGGCGCAGACUGACCAGCAUCGUGCUCGCAACAGGAUCCGAGGAAAGAUAUUCCAAUACUGCACUUCCUCCGCGCCCCUGCUUCUAGUUCAAGAGGUCACAGGAAGGAACACACAAGCAGGCGAGUGACUGCUUACUGAGAUGGAGAGCCAAGCGCGAGGCUUCUGUGAAUGCAGGGUCACACCACCACAGAAACUGACUCAGAGAAAAAGAAAACGUAACCCUGAAGCGGCUGCCUUACCCCUUCCCCUUGUGGAUUACCAGUGGAAUUGACCCUAGACAACCAGCUGUCCAGGACACUGAGCACACCAGCCUACUAUGAGAAGGGAAACCAAGCAGGGCUGUGCAGUUUGGAAGAGCAUUUCCUUCGUUUGUUUUCCCUUUGUGUACCUUUUAGUGUUCUGGACCUUUUUGUUUUGCCACGCGACCUUACCAUUGAUGGUAUUGUCGGUGGUUUCUUUUGAUCUUAGUUGGCAACACUUUGCUUCUGUGUAACCUGUCCCUACCACUGUAGGUAGCGGCGGGGGGGGGUUGUGUUUGUUUUUGAAAUCUCUGCAGCCA